CGCACCCUGCCAAUUAUUUUUAACACAUAAAAAUUCAAUGAAAUACGUGGAUCGAGAGAAAAGUUAGGCAUGACCCAAGGAACGGCUGCCCAGGGAGCCGUCCACAUGCCCUCUCGGCCCCUCCUCUCUCUCUGAAUUGUGUCUCCAACCUGCCAAAAGGUCCCUCUAAUCCCUCUGGUGUUUUUCUGAAAUUUUAUUUUAUUUUCCUCCUCAGCGUACUGGUCAAUGAAGGCCUGGGGGAAUGAAAGGGGCCUUGAGAUAAGCCGGGGUCACAGAUUAGGGUGGGCCUCAUGGGCUCUCGGGAGUGGAUGUCCCUAGUGUGCUGUCCACUGAUGACCUCUUCCCUGAGGAUGGCCAGUCCCCACAACCCCGCUGAACGCACAGGCCUGGGCAGCCACCUUCCCGCCAUGUGACCCUGCCCGGUCCCGCAGUGAGUCGAACCAGAAGCUGGCUGGUCCAGUCAGAUUCCUCCUGCAGUACUGGGCUGGAAGCCAUAUGGAUAUGGGGCUGAAUAUAAAAAAUGGUCAUUUGAAGCAGACUGAGAGAGAAGGAGAGAGAGGAUCCCAUUGUGCGAAAGGCAGAGAUGAGAAGAACCAGGUGUCCCCUGUCUGGGAGACAGGUGUAGACAGAUGUGCUAGGAAAGGUUCCCUGCUGGCCCGGUGCGGUGGUUCAUGCCUGUAACCCUAGCACUUUGGGAAGCUGAGGCAGGCGGAUUGCCUGAGCUCAGGAGUUCAAGGCCAGCGUGGGCAACAUGGUGAAACCCCAUCUCUACUAAAAUACAAAAAAUUAGCCGGGCGUGGCGGCAUGCACCUGUAGUCUCAGCUACUCAGGAGGCUGAGGUAGGAGAAUUGUUCGAAUCUAGGAGGCAGAGGCUGCAGUGAGCCGAGAUCACACCAUUGCACUCCAGCCUGGGUAACAGAAUGAGACUCCAUUUUCAUAGGGAAAAAAAAAAAAAGGUGUCCUGCUCUUUGGGGAAAAAUCCUCAUGGCUCAUGGCUCUUGCCAAAUCCCUGCUGUAAACACCCAUAUCAUGCCAAUAUUAGCUGCCCCUGUAAAGUCACUGAAUAGGGACUUGGGAAGAGGUAUCCAUAGUUGGCUCUUGCUGGUCUGGGCUGGGUGUGGCCUCGGUUUCUGAUGGUUUCACCAUCCUCAUGGGGCCUGGCGGCUGUCUAUUUUUGGCCAUGAAUAUUCUCUGCCCCUCCAAAGGUGUGACCCAAAGGCAGUCUCUCAGAAGUGUCUGAAGCCAAGAAACACAGCCCAGCAACCAAGUAAAGGAACUGAAGACUUUUGCUUCUUGGCCAGGCAUGGUGGCUCAUACCGGUAAUCCCAGCACUUUGGGAGGCCGAGGCAGGAGGAUCAUUUGAGGCCAGGAGUUUGAGACCAGCCUGGGCAGCAUAGUGAGAAUCUGUCUGUAUAAAAUAUUUUUUAAGAAUUAGCCAGGUGUGGUGGCAUGUGCCUGUAGUCCCAGCUACUCUGGAGACUGAAGUGGGAGGAUUGCUUGAGCCCAGGAGUUGGAGGCUGCAGUGAGCUGUGAUUGUGUCCACUGCACUCCAGCCUGGGUGACAGAGUAAGAUCCUGUCUCUGAAAAAAAAAAAAAAAAAAAAAAAAA
Molecule: long non-coding RNA, 1608 nt
Organism: Macaca fascicularis (crab-eating macaque)
Lineage: Eukaryota; Metazoa; Chordata; Mammalia; Primates; Cercopithecidae
Source: Ensembl